Long non-coding RNA from Coffea eugenioides, 345 nucleotides. RefSeq lists it as uncharacterized. Lineage: Eukaryota; Viridiplantae; Streptophyta; Magnoliopsida; Gentianales; Rubiaceae. The transcript is spliced from 3 exons. The record is from RefSeq and is a predicted model, not a curated record.
UGAGUCACCACAACCCCUCAGUUAUUGCCUCCCCUAUAUCCCAAACACAAAAAAUAUAUUACUGGUAAUUCCUUCAAUGCCUCCACCAUCAUGUUCCUUUAGCUGCCAUCAAUUUUUUCCCUAUCAAGCACACGAAUGGAAUAGAAGUAUGGACAGAUUUUUAAAAAAUUAAGUUCGGGAUUAAGACCCACGAGAUCGAGGAAUACUAAUUUGGUAACAAGAUGUGGCUCUGCGCCUCGAGAAGCUUCAAUUGGUAUCUGGGCCUCCAGAAAUACAGCUUGGCAAGUGGAAAAACAAGAUCUCUGUUCCAAUCUGCAAAUGUUGUUGAAAGGCAGAAUUUGGAAG